This 134-nucleotide small nucleolar RNA is filed under the name Mola mola (ocean sunfish). RNAcentral describes it as "Small nucleolar RNA SNORA3/SNORA45 family (ENSMMOG00000014657.1)". It matches the Rfam family "Small nucleolar RNA SNORA3/SNORA45 family". Rfam says of the family: The members of this family belong to the H/ACA class of snoRNAs which are thought to guide the sites of modification of uridines to pseudouridines. The record is from Rfam by way of RNAcentral. Lineage: Eukaryota; Metazoa; Chordata; Actinopteri; Tetraodontiformes; Molidae.
AGCGAGGCUAGAGUCACGCCUGGACACCUACCUGUUGUCCUGGUGUGCUAGAGCUCUCGCAUAGCAAAAUGCCUCUGCUUAUUCAUUGGCUGUAGUCUGUUGUGACCCAGUCAACCACCAACUCAGGCACACUA